GGGAGGCAGCAGUGGGGAAUAUUGCACAAUGGGCGCAAGCCUGAUGCAGCAACGCCGCGUGAGGGAUGACGGCCUUCGGGUUGUAAACCUCUUUUAGCAGGGAAGAAGCGAAAGUGACGGUACCUGCAGAAAAAGCGCCGGCUAACUACGUGCCAGCAGCCGCGGUAAUACGUAGGGCGCAAGCGUUAUCCGGAAUUAUUGGGCGUAAAGAGCUCGUAGGCGGUUUGUCGCGUCUGCUGUGAAAUCCGGAGGCUCAACCUCCGGCCUGCAGUGGGUACGGGCAGACUAGAGUGCGGUAGGGGAGAUUGGAAUUCCUGGUGUAGCGGUGGAAUGCGCAGAUAUCAGGAGGAACACCGAUGGCGAAGGCAGAUCUCUGGGCCGUAACUGACGCUGAGGAGCGAAAGGGUGGGGAGCAAACAGGCUUAGAUACCCUGGUAGUCCACCCCGUAAACGUUGGGAACUAGUUGUGGGGUCCAUUCCACGGAUUCCGUGACGCAGCUAACGCAUUAAGUUCCCCGCCUG
Molecule: ribosomal RNA, 522 nt
Filed under: uncultured bacterium
Lineage: Bacteria
Description: bacterial SSU rRNA
Rfam family: Bacterial small subunit ribosomal RNA
Source: RNAcentral